Molecule: ribosomal RNA, 467 nt
Filed under: uncultured bacterium
Lineage: Bacteria
Description: partial 16S ribosomal RNA
Rfam family: Bacterial small subunit ribosomal RNA
Source: RNAcentral
GACGAACGCUGGCGGCGUGCUUAACACAUGCAAGUCGAACGGAAAGGCCUCUUUCGGGGGGUACUCGAGUGGCGAACGGGUGAGUAACACGUGAGUAACCUGCCCUUGACUUUGGGAUAACUUCAGGAAACUGGGGCUAAUACCGGAUAGGAGCUCCUGCUGCAUGGUGGGGGUUGGAAAGUUUCGGCGGUUGGGGAUGGACUCGCGGCUUAUCAGCUUGUUGGUGGGGUAGUGGCUUACCAAGGCUUUGACGGGUAGCCGGUCUGAGAGGGUGACCGGCCACAUUGGGACUGAGAUACGGCCCAGACUCCUACGGGAGGCAGCAGUGGGGAAUAUUGCACAAUGGGUGGAAGCCUGAUGCAGCAACGCCGUGUGCGGGAUGACGGCCUUCGGGUUGUAAACCGCUUUCGCUCAUGACGAAGCUUUGUGUGACGGUAGUGGGUAAAGAAGCACCGGCUAACUACGUG